This 497-nucleotide ribosomal RNA is filed under the name uncultured bacterium. Its description in RNAcentral is "partial 16S ribosomal RNA". It matches the Rfam family "Bacterial small subunit ribosomal RNA", at positions 28 to 507 of the family's 1533-position model. The record is from RNAcentral.
GAUGAACGCUGGCGGCGUGCCUAAUACAUGCAAGUCGAGCGAACAGACGAGGAGCUUGCUCCUCUGACGUUAGCGGCGGACGGGUGAGUAACACGUGGAUAACCUACCUAUAAGACUGGGAUAACUUCGGGAAACCGGAGCUAAUACCGGAUAAUAUAUUGAACCGCAUGGUUCAAUAGUGAAAGACGGUUUUGCUGUCACUUAUAGCUGGAUCCGCUCCGCAUUAGCUAGUUGGUAAGGUAACGGCUUACCAAGGCGACGAUGCGUAGCCGACCUGAGAGGGUGAUCGGCGGCACUGGAACUGAGACACGGUCCAGACUCCUACGGGAGGCACCAGUAGGGAAUCUUCCGCAAUGGGCGAAAGCCUGACGGAGCAGCGCCGCGUGAGUGGUGAAGGUCUUCGGAUCGUAAAACUCUGUUAUUAGGGAAGAACAAAUGUGUAAGUAACUAUGCACGUCUUGACGGUACCUAAUCAGAAAGCCCCGGCUAACUACGUG